GACGAACGCUGGCGGCGUGCUUAACACAUGCAAGUCGAACGGAAAGGCCCUGCUUGCAGGGUACUCGAGUGGCGAACGGGUGAGUAACACGUGGGUGAUCUGCCCUGCACUUCGGGAUAAACCUGGGAAACUGGGUCUAAUACCGGAUAGGAGCCAUUUUUAGUGUGAUGGUUGGAAAGUUUUUUCGGUGUAGGAUGAGCUCGCGGCCUAUCAGCUUGUUGGUGGGGUAAUGGCCUACCAAGGCGGCGACGGGUAGCCGGCCUGAGAGGGUGGACGGCCACAUUGGGACUGAGAUACGGCCCAGACUCCUACGGGAGGCAGCAGUGGGGAAUAUUGCACAAUGGGCGCAAGCCUGAUGCAGCGACGCCGCGUGGGGGAUGACGGCCUUCGGGUUGUAAACUCCUUUCGCUAGGGACGAAGCUUUUGUGACGGUACCUAGAUAAGAAGCACCGGCUAACUACGUG
RNAcentral lists this ribosomal RNA (464 nucleotides) under uncultured bacterium. Its description in RNAcentral is "partial 16S ribosomal RNA". It matches the Rfam family "Bacterial small subunit ribosomal RNA", at positions 28 to 507 of the family's 1533-position model. The record is from RNAcentral.